Molecule: ribosomal RNA, 480 nt
Filed under: uncultured bacterium
Lineage: Bacteria
Description: bacterial SSU rRNA
Rfam family: Bacterial small subunit ribosomal RNA
Source: RNAcentral
UUGAACGCUGGCGGCAUGCCUUACACAUGCAAGUCGAACGGUAACAGGUCUUCGGAUGCUGACGAGUGGCGAACGGGUGAGUAAUACAUCGGAACGUGCCCGAUCGUGGGGGAUAACGCAGCGAAAGCUGUGCUAAUACCGCAUACGCCCUGAGGGGGAAAGCGGGGGACCUUCGGGCCUCGCGCGAUUGGAGCGGCUGAUGUCGGAUUAGCUGGUUGGUGGGGUAAAGGCCUACCAAGGCGACGAUCCGUAGCUGGUCUGAGAGGAUGAUCAGCCACACUGGGACUGAGACACGGCCCAGACUCCUACGGGAGGCAGCAGUGGGGAAUUUUGGACAAUGGGCGCAAGCCUGAUCCAGCCAUGCCGCGUGAGUGAAGAAGGCCUUCGGGUUGUAAAGCUCUUUCAGGAGGGAAGAAACGGUUGCGGCUAAUACCCGCGACUAAUGACGGUACCUUCAGAAGAAGCACCGGCUAACUACGU